This 408-nucleotide ribosomal RNA is filed under the name uncultured bacterium. RNAcentral describes it as "partial 16S ribosomal RNA". It matches the Rfam family "Bacterial small subunit ribosomal RNA", at positions 28 to 526 of the family's 1533-position model. The record is from RNAcentral.
GACGAACGCUGGCGGCGUGCUUAACACAUGCAAGUCGAACGAAGUGGCGAACGGGUGAGUAACGCGUAAUCAACCUGCACUUCAGAGGGGGACAACAGGUGGAAACGACUGCUAAUACCGCAUACUGAAGGAGGGGAUUGUGUCUGCUUAGCUAGUUGGAGGGGUAACGGCCCACCAAGGCGAUGAUCAGUAGCCGGGCGGAGAGGAUGAACGGCCAACUCUGGACUGAGAAACGGCCCAGACCCCUACGGGAGGCAGCCGUGGGGAAUCUUCCGCAAUGGACGAAAGUCUGAAGGAGCAACGCCGGGUGAGUGAUGACGGCCUUCGGGUUGUAAAGCUCUGUUAAUCGGGACGCGGUACCGGAAUAGAAAGCCACGGCUAACUACGUGCCAGCCGCCGCGGUAAUAC